Molecule: ribosomal RNA, 431 nt
Filed under: Bombyx mandarina (wild silkworm)
Lineage: Eukaryota; Metazoa; Arthropoda; Insecta; Lepidoptera; Bombycidae
Description: partial 12S ribosomal RNA
Source: RNAcentral
AAACUAGGAUUAGAUACCCUAUUAUUAAAAAUUUAAAUUAAUAAUACUAAAAUAGUAUAUAAUUAUUUAUAAAAACUUAAAUAAUUUGGCGGUAUUUUAGUUUAUUUAGAGGAAUCUGUUUAUUAAUUGAUAUUCCACGAAUAAAUUUACUUAAUUUAUUUAAUUUUGUAUAUCGUUGUUAUAAAAAUAUUUUAAAAUAAUAAUAAUAUUUUAAUUUUUAUAUUAAAAGUUAAAUCAGAUCAAGAUGCAGAUUAUAAUUAAGAAUAUAAUGGAUUACAAUAAAUUUAUUUAAUUGGAUGUUAUUUUUAAAAAUUAAUUGAAAUUGGAUUUAAAUGUAAUUUUAUUUAAUUUAUUAAAAUGAUUUUAAUUUAAAAUAUGUACAUAUUGCCCGUCGCUUUCAUUAAUAAAUUGAAAUAAGUCGUAACAUAGUA